CCUACGGGAGGCAGCAGUGAGGAAUAUUGGUCAAUGGGCGUAAGCCUGAGCCAGCCAAGUCGCGUGAGGGAUGAAGGUUCUAUGGAUCGUAAACCUCUUUUAUAAGGGAAUAAAGUGCGGGUCGUGUCCCGUUUUGUAUGUACCUUAUGAAUAAGGAUCGGCUAACUCCGUGCCAGCAGCCGCGGUAAUACGGAGGAUCCGAUCGUUAUCCUGAUUUAUUGGGUUUAAAGGGUGCGUAGGCGGCCUUUUAAGUCAGCGGGGAAAGUCUGUGGCUCAACCAUAGAAUUGCCGUUGAAACUGGGAGGCUUGAGGAUGUUUGAGGAAGGCGGAAUGCGUGGUGUAGCGGGGAAAUGCGUAGAUAUCACGCAGAACCCCGAUUGCGAAGGCAGCCUGCCAAGCCAUGACUGACGCUGAUGCACGAAAGCGUGGGGAUCAAACAGGAUUAGAUACCCCAGUAGUC
Molecule: ribosomal RNA, 460 nt
Filed under: uncultured bacterium
Lineage: Bacteria
Description: partial 16S ribosomal RNA
Rfam family: Bacterial small subunit ribosomal RNA
Source: RNAcentral